GCGGUCUCCUCCUAAAGAGUAACGGAGGAGCACGAAGGUUGGCUAAUCCUGGUCGGACAUCAGGAGGUUAGUGCAAUGGCAUAAGCCAGCUUGACUGCGAGCGUGACGGCGCGAGCAGGUGCGAAAGCAGGUCAUAGUGAUCCGGUGGUUCUGAAUGGAAGGGCCAUCGCUCAACGGAUAAAAGGUACUCCGGGGAUAACAGGCUGAUACCGCCCAAGAGUUCAUAUCGACGGCGGUGUUUGGCACCUCGAUGUCGGCUCAUCACAUCCUGGGGCUGAAGUAGGUCCCAAGGGUAUGGCUGUUCGCCAUUUAAAGUGGUACGCGAGCUGGGUUUAGAACGUCGUGAGACAGUUCGGUCCCUAUCUGCCGUGGGCGCUGGAGAACUGAGGGGGGCUGCUCCUAGUACGAGAGGACCGGAGUGGACGCAUCACUGGUGUUCGGGUUGUCAUGCCAAUGGCACUGCCCGGUAGCUAAAUGCGGAAGAGAUAAGUGCUGAAAGCAUCUAAGCACGAAACUUGCCCCGAGAUGAGUUCUCCCUGACCCUUUAAGGGUCCUGAAGGAACGUUGAAGACGACGACGUUGAUAGGCCGGGUGUGUAAGCGCAGCGAUGCGUUGAGCUAACCGGUACUAAUGAACCGUGAGG
Molecule: ribosomal RNA, 643 nt
Filed under: Escherichia coli
Lineage: Bacteria; Pseudomonadati; Pseudomonadota; Gammaproteobacteria; Enterobacterales; Enterobacteriaceae
Also listed under: 1 other name
Description: partial 23S ribosomal RNA
Rfam family: Bacterial large subunit ribosomal RNA
Source: RNAcentral